GCCAAAUCAUUCUCUCCUAUAUAUAACUUAGACUCACCUUCCAGAGUAACAUACAAGGGAUUUGCUCUGCCUGUGCCUUUCAGGGUAUCUAAGUGAGGUACUGAGGUCGUCAUCUGUGUCAGGCUGAGAGGUAAGUGAAUAGACAGACUGAUCCUCACCUGUCUGGUUUAUAAUAAAAAAAGCAAUAGAGGAAUAGCAGCAGCAGCAGUAACCAAACACAUGACACAAUGAGAGAACAGGAAGCAUCCAGCGAAUUCCGUGUAGCAACACUGAUGUCCUGCUGAGCUGCUGUUCGAACGACCCCAUCUGUAGCAAAGAAUCACCAUUCAGUAGUCACUACGGCCAAGGCAUGCUGGUAGAGGAGAAAAGAGUGGACACUGGGGAGACAUUGCUUGUACACAGGUGAGAAAUGGGAACAUGGCGGUUUCUAACAAGAGCAAGUAUUAGGCUCAUGCAUUGUAAUUGUGGUUCCCCAGAAUAAGACAUAGCAGUCAUAGAUCCUCUUGUAUGCCAAAGACUGUCCUGGAAGCUAUAGUUUUAACCAUCAAUAUAGUCCUGCACCUAUGUUCUGUUGAGUUCAUCAACAUCUUAUGGACAGGGGAAAUGAUGGACAAUGGUUUCAUGGCCAGUGUCCCAUUGUUGAUAGUAAGGGAAGGAAAGGGUUGUUCAGAAACUUCUUGCUUCAUGUGACAUUUCAAAGGAUUAGAAAUAUAGAAUAUAAACAGAAAAAAUAUUAUUUUAAUUUAUAUUUCAAUGUGAAUAUUUGUGAAUAGUUAAUAAGUUAUCUAGCAAGUUUCCUAAUUUCAACAUAAAGUUAUUUUAGUUUUCCAGUCGAUAAUGAACACAUGUACAUUUGUGAUUUACAUAUUGAAUGAGGUAGGUACUCUGAGUCUGGCUUGAUUUCAAGCCCCACCAGGCUGGUAAAUUCUGCCAAUGAAUGCAUUAGGGAAUUUGGAAUACUGUGGGGAAAAAAGCCACACCUAUAUAAUGUCAGUAUUUUUAAGAAUAGUUGAAGGAAGCAUUUGACUUCCAAGGGCAAAUGAUGUAACACACAAGGCCACAGGGUGGCAGCCCUGAUUCAUUUCUCUUUUCAGGCAUCAUUUUGCAUUUCUCAAAGAUACCCGCAGUACCAGCAUGAAGAAACUUGUAUGCUGUGUUAAAGAUACACCAUGUUAGUGUCAUAAUAAACGACAACACAGAAGCUCCAUAGUGUGCUGUCAGCAAUCAUGGAGCAGUUUGACCUUGCUAAUCGCAGGCAGAUGAGAGUUUAUGUGUGAAUUUCUUAGGGUCUCUUUGUAUGUGUCAUCCUGAACAUAGCCUGCACAAAGUGAGUCCUCGUAAAAGUAAAAUCCUUCAUGGGAGAAAGGGAGAAACUCUUGGUGAUGUGGUAUAGCACUGGGAAGUUGCACUUGUUCAAAUAAAUGACUCCCACACUC
RNAcentral lists this long non-coding RNA (1436 nucleotides) under Rattus norvegicus (Norway rat). RNAcentral's name for it is "long non-coding RNA NONRATT021230". The record is from RNAcentral. Lineage: Eukaryota; Metazoa; Chordata; Mammalia; Rodentia; Muridae.